Ornithorhynchus anatinus (platypus) is the source of this 366-nucleotide long non-coding RNA. RefSeq lists it as uncharacterized. Lineage: Eukaryota; Metazoa; Chordata; Mammalia; Monotremata; Ornithorhynchidae. The record is from RefSeq and is a predicted model, not a curated record. The transcript has 2 exons.
CCCAAGACCGCAGGUCCACCCCAGUGGGGAUUCUGCAGGCACCGUCACCGGCAGCUUAGAGAAGAGAGAGCCAUCAUCCCGACGGCCGUGGAAAUCGUCAUCGAGCGAAUGGCGGGUCCAGCCUCGAGAGGCACAGCGGUCGCUUCCGGAUUCGGGCGUUCCCUCCAUGAUGCCACCCUAAAGGUUGGGGGGAAAGCAGGCCCUUCCGCCAGGCACUCCAGCCCCUGUCCCACCGACCAGGUCAUGCUGCUUCCCAGGAGACGUCCUCUGGAAUUCUUGGACUUCAGCAGUUCCACUCUACUGGGGACGCUCUGCUUUGCCUGUGGUUUUUGAGAGGGAAGACUACGUUAAAGAUGUUCUGCUCUA